Acanthosepion pharaonis is the source of this 114-nucleotide non-coding RNA. The record is from the annotation of a GenBank genome assembly. NCBI's taxonomy places the organism in Eukaryota, Metazoa, Mollusca, Cephalopoda, Sepiida, Sepiidae.
UUAUGGCCACAUCACAUUGAAAACAUCGGUUCUUGUAUGACCACCAAAGUUAAGCAACAUAGAGCCUAAUUAAUACCUAGAUGGGUGACCGCUUGGGAAUACCAGGUUCCGUAA